This 94-nucleotide ribosomal RNA is filed under the name Pseudomonas sp. RIT-PI-r. The record is from RNAcentral. Lineage: Bacteria; Pseudomonadati; Pseudomonadota; Gammaproteobacteria; Pseudomonadales; Pseudomonadaceae.
AGAGCGUUGGAACCACCUGAUCCCAUCCCGAACUCAGCAGUGAAACGAUGCAUCGCCGAUGGUAGUGUGGGGUUUCCCCAUGUGAGAGUAGGUC